This 109-nucleotide small nuclear RNA is filed under the name Notamacropus eugenii (tammar wallaby). The record is from RNAcentral. Lineage: Eukaryota; Metazoa; Chordata; Mammalia; Diprotodontia; Macropodidae.
GAGUGUACGUUUCAGCAGCUCAUAGACUAAAAUUGGAGUGAUACCAAGAAGAUUAGCAAGGCCCCUGUGCAUGGAUGACAUUCAAAUUCAUGAAGCUUUCCAUAUUUUU